UACGAAGGGUGCAAGCGUUAAUCGGAAUUACUGGGCGUAAAGCGCGCGUAGGUGGUUCAGUAAGUUGGAAGUGAAAUCCCCGGGCUCAACCUGGGAACUGCUUUCAAAACUGCUGAGCUAGAGUACGGUAGAGGGUGGUGGAAUUUCCUGUGUAGCGGUGAAAUGCGUAGAUAUAGGAAGGAGCACCAGUGGCGAAGGCGACCACCUGGACUGAUACUGACACUGAGGUGCGAAAGCAUGGGGAGCAAACAGG
Molecule: ribosomal RNA, 253 nt
Filed under: uncultured bacterium
Lineage: Bacteria
Description: partial 16S ribosomal RNA
Rfam family: Bacterial small subunit ribosomal RNA
Source: RNAcentral